Molecule: ribosomal RNA, 424 nt
Filed under: uncultured prokaryote
Description: bacterial SSU rRNA
Rfam family: Bacterial small subunit ribosomal RNA
Source: RNAcentral
UGAGGAAUAUUGGACAAUGGGCGCAAGCCUGAUCCAGCCAUGCCGCGUGAGUGAAGAAGGCCUUAGGGUUGUAAAGCUCUUUCAGUCGUGAAGAUAAUGACGGUAGCGACAGAAGAAGCCCCGGCUAAUUUCGUGCCAGCAGCCGCGGUAAUACGAAAGGGGCUAGCGUUGUUCGGAAUUACUGGGCGUAAAGCGCGCGUAGGCGGCCUAGCAAGUUGGGGGUGAAAGCCCAGGGCUCAACCCUGGAAUUGCCUCCAAAACUGCUAAGCUCGAGGCCGAGAGAGGAGUGUGGAAUUCCUAGUGUAGAGGUGAAAUUCGUAGAUAUUAGGAAGAACACCGGUGGCGAAGGCGACACUCUGGCUCGGUUCUGACGCUGAGGCGCGAAAGCGUGGGGAGCAAACAGGAUUAGAUACCCCCGUAGUCC